UACGUAGGGUGCGAGCGUUAAUCGGAAUUACUGGGCGUAAAGCGUGCGCAGGCGGUUUUGUAAGCCAGAUGUGAAAUCCCCGGGCUCAACCUGGGAAUGGCAUUUGGGACUGCAAGGCUUGAGUGCGGCAGAGGAGACGUGGAAUUCCUGGUGUAGCAGUGAAAUGCGUAGAUAUCAGGAGGAAUACCGGAUGGCGAAGGCAGGUCUCUGGGCUGACACUGACGCUCAUGCA
RNAcentral lists this ribosomal RNA (232 nucleotides) under uncultured bacterium. RNAcentral describes it as "partial 16S ribosomal RNA". It matches the Rfam family "Bacterial small subunit ribosomal RNA", at positions 524 to 753 of the family's 1533-position model. The record is from RNAcentral.